GAUGAACGCUGGCGGCGUGCCUAAUACAUGCAAGUCGAGCGAACAGACGAGGAUCUUGCUCCUCUGACGUUAGCGGCGGACGGGUGAGUAGCACGUGGAUAACCUACCUAUAAGACUGGGAUAACUUCGGGAAACCGGAGCUAAUACCGGGUAAUAUAUUGAACCGCAUGGUUCAAUAGUGAAAGACGGUUUUGCUGUCACUUAUAGAUGGAUCCGCGCCGCAUUAGCUAGUUGGUAAGGUAACGGCUUAACAAGGCAACGAUGCGUAGCCGACGUGAGAGGGUGAUCGGCCACAGUGGAACUGAGACAACGUCCGGACUGCGACGGGGGGCAGAAGUAGGGAAGAGGCAGCAAUGGGGGAAAGCGUGCAGGAGGAGCGACCCGGGAGUGGUGAAGGUCUGUGGAUCGUAAAACUCUGUUAGUAGGGAAGAACAAAUGUGUAAGUAACUAUGCACGUCGUGACGGUACCUAAUCAGAAAGCCACGGCUAACUACGUG
This 497-nucleotide ribosomal RNA is filed under the name uncultured bacterium. RNAcentral describes it as "partial 16S ribosomal RNA". It matches the Rfam family "Bacterial small subunit ribosomal RNA", at positions 28 to 507 of the family's 1533-position model. The record is from RNAcentral.